Adelges cooleyi (spruce gall adelgid) is the source of this 1004-nucleotide long non-coding RNA. RefSeq lists it as uncharacterized. Lineage: Eukaryota; Metazoa; Arthropoda; Insecta; Hemiptera; Adelgidae. The transcript is spliced from 3 exons. The record is from RefSeq and is a predicted model, not a curated record.
UUUUUAAUAAAUAUAUUCAUAAUUAUAAUUAUUGAAAUGUUUUAAAGUUUAAUUUUUGAAAAAAAAAAAUGUUUAAUAACCGUAACAAAACGUACAGAGAUUAGAUAAUAAAUUAAUAACCGCUAUAGCUAAUCUGCGCUACUGUUAAAGGUGUUUGUUAACGAUUCGAGGUCACUUGGUCAGACUUGGUAUUGUCUUUGAUAGACAAAACGUAAAAACUUGUUUGUAGUGGUGGAUAAUAAAUUCGAAAUUGACUGUUUUUUCAUUCUAAAAAGACCUAUUUUCAUUCAAACAUCCUACGAACAACUUUUAAUAAAUGUGUACUUAUACUUAUCAAAAUUUGACUUAAAAAUGUAAAAUUGAACAAAAUAUUCAACAUGGAUUAUUACGCUUCUUCGUAUCAAAAAAUGGAAAAAGUUGUUCAUUGAAACCAAAGUAAACAUAUUAAAAAAGUUUUCACUAUCAAAAUCGCAUCAUCAGAUCGAUAUGAUGGAAUGAAAAUUGACAUUUUUCACAAAACUUUAAAAGUUUUACAACUCUAGAAAAAAAUAAUAUUUGUUCACCUUUAAACUAGCCGGCAUUUUAAAAUAGCUACUACUAGAUUUAUUUUUGAUUUUAUAGAUUUCGAUCUAUACAGUGUACUUUUUAAAAUGCUUUGUAGUGAAAUGAAUAAUACUGUACAAGUCUGCGCUGAAGUUAGGGAAGCAAUAGCAUCAAUGAGGACACCAGAAGAAGUGGCAAUAUUGAUGGGAGAUGAUUAGGAUUAGCAGAUUAAAAUUAAAAGUUAUCAGAAAAAAAAAAUAGAAAAAUUGUCAUAGUCUAACAUUAACUUGUUUAAAAAUGCAUUAAAACGAAUUUGUUGACCAAAAUCGCUAUUUUUUUUUAAUAAACAUCGAUUUAUUAAAUUGUGUGCUAUGUUAGUUUUUUUUAUAAAUACUUAAGUAGUCGGAGAAAUGAUAAUUUAACAAUUUAAUAUCCUAAUUCAUUAUCAUAAUGUACAUUAU